RNAcentral lists this ribosomal RNA (468 nucleotides) under uncultured bacterium. RNAcentral's name for it is "partial 16S ribosomal RNA". It matches the Rfam family "Bacterial small subunit ribosomal RNA", at positions 28 to 507 of the family's 1533-position model. The record is from RNAcentral.
GACGAACGCUGGCGGCGUGCUUAACACAUGCAAGUCGAACGGAAAGGCCCUGCUUUUGUGGGGUGCUCGAGUGGCGAACGGGUGAGUAACACGUGAGUAACCUGCCCUUUACUUUGGGAUAACUUCAGGAAACUGGGGCUAAUACCGGAUAGGAGCUCCUGCUGCAUGGUGGGGGUUGGAAAGUUUCGGCGGUUGGGGAUGGACUCGCGGCUUAUCAGCUUGUUGGUGGGGUAGUGGCUUACCAAGGCUUUGACGGGUAGCCGGCCUGAGAGGGUGACCGGCCACAUUGAGACUGAGAUACGGCCCAGACUCCUACGGGAGGCAGCAGUGGGGAAUAUUGCACAAUGGGCGGAAGCCUGAUGAAGCAACGCCGCGUGCGGGAUGACGGCCUUCGGGUUGUAAACCGCUUUCGCCUGUGACGAAGCGUGAGUGACGGUAAUGGGUAAAGAAGCACCGGCUAACUACGUG